This is a non-coding RNA of Vicia faba (fava bean), 306 nucleotides long. Lineage: Eukaryota; Viridiplantae; Streptophyta; Magnoliopsida; Fabales; Fabaceae. The record is from the annotation of a GenBank genome assembly.
AGAAGGUUCCAUGAAGAGAACAAAAAUUACAAGCAAUACUUAAAAAAGAAUUUUUUGUCAAAAAAAUACUUCAAAAAGAAUUUUUUUGAGACAAGAAUUCCAACUCAUUUUGACAAUAAUUACUACAAGAAUCUCAUUAUCAAAAGGGGACUACUUCAUUCUGAUCAAAUAGGACAGCAAGAAAUCAUCUACAAUUUUUAUCAAGCAACAUUUGAGCCUUUCAUGCUAUGCUUUCUUCAAGAUGGGUUGCCUGCCUUGCCCGCUUCUAAAUCAUCUCCGAAAUUGAAAGGAACAGUUAGGAUGUAA